Molecule: ribosomal RNA, 484 nt
Filed under: uncultured bacterium
Lineage: Bacteria
Description: partial 16S ribosomal RNA
Rfam family: Bacterial small subunit ribosomal RNA
Source: RNAcentral
AUUGAACGCUGGCGGCAGGCCUAACACAUGCAAGUCGAGCGGAAGAAGGGAGCUUGCUCCUGGAUUCAGCGGCGGACGGGAGAGUAAUGCCUAGGAAUCUGCCUGGUAGUGGGGGAUAACGUCCGGAAACGGGCGCUAAUACCGCAUACGUCCUGAGGGAGAAAGUGGGGGAUCUCCGGACCUCACGCUAUCAGAUGAGCCUAGGUCGGAUUAGCUUGCUGGAGCGGUAAAGGCCUACCAAGGCGACGAUCCGUAAGUGGCCUGAGAGAAUGAUCAGCCACACUGGAACUGAGCCACGGUCCAGAUUCCUACGGGAGCAAGCAGUGGGGAAUAUUAGGGUCUGGGCCAAUGCCUGAACAAGCCAAGCCGCCUGUGUCAAGAAGGUACUCGGACUGUAAAGCCCCAUUAGUCGGGAAGCAGACAAGUAAGUUAAUACCUUGCUGUCUUGACGUUACCAAAAGAAUACGCACCGGCUAACUUCGUG